This 265-nucleotide ribosomal RNA is filed under the name uncultured archaeon. RNAcentral describes it as "partial 16S ribosomal RNA". It matches the Rfam family "Archaeal small subunit ribosomal RNA", at positions 717 to 982 of the family's 1478-position model. The record is from RNAcentral.
ACACGACUACAUUAGAUACCCCUGUAGUCCUAGCCGUAAACGAUACUCGCUAGGUGUCGGCCACGGUGCGACCGUUGUCGGUGCCGUAGGGAAGCCGUGAAGCGAGCCACCUGGGAAGUACGGCCGCAAGGCUGAAACUUAAAGGAAUUGGCGGGGGAGCACAACAACGGGUGGAGCUUGCGGUUUAAUUGGAUUCAACGCCGGAAAUCUUACCGGGACCGACAGCAACAUGAAGGCCAGGCUGAAGACUUUGCCGGAUUAGCUG